CGGUGCCAGCAGCCGCGGUAAUUCCAGCUCAAUAGCGUAUAUUAAAGUUGUUGCAGUUAAAAAGCUCGUAGUUGAAUUUCGGGGUCAGUAGAUUGGUCAUGCCUCCGGUAUGCACUGGUCUUACUGGCUCCUCCUUCCUGAUGAACCGUAAUGCCAUUAAUUUGGUGUUGCGGGAGACUGGACUGUUACUUUGAAAAAUUAGAGUGUUUAAAGCAGGCUAACGCUUGAAUACAUUAGCAUGGAAUAAUGAAAUAGGACGUUCGAUCUUAUUUUGUUGGUUUCUAAGAUUGACGUAAUGAUUAAUAGGGAUAGUUGGGGGCAUUAGUAUUCAAUUGUCAGAGGUGAAAUUCUUGGAUUUAUUGAAGACUAACUACUGCGAAAGCAUUUGCCAAGGAUGUUUUCAUUAAUCAAGAACGAAAGUUAGGGGAUCGAAGACGAUCAGAUACCGUCGUAGUCUUAACCAUAAACUAUGCCGACUAGGGAUCGGAUGAUGUUAAUUUUUAAUGACUCAUUCGGCGCCUUACG
Molecule: ribosomal RNA, 525 nt
Filed under: uncultured Glomus
Lineage: Eukaryota; Fungi; Glomeromycota; Glomeromycetes; Glomerales; Glomeraceae
Description: SSU rRNA
Rfam family: Eukaryotic small subunit ribosomal RNA
Source: RNAcentral